Molecule: ribosomal RNA, 907 nt
Filed under: Trichothecium roseum
Lineage: Eukaryota; Fungi; Ascomycota; Sordariomycetes; Hypocreales
Description: eukaryotic LSU rRNA
Rfam family: Eukaryotic large subunit ribosomal RNA
Source: RNAcentral
GUUGACCUCGGAUCAGGUAGGAAUACCCGCUGAACUUAAGCAUAUCAAUAAGCGGAGGAAAAGAAACCAACAGGGAUUGCCCUAGUAACGGCGAGUGAAGCGGCAACAGCUCAAAUUUGAAAGCUGGCUCUCGGGCCCGCAUUGUAAUUUGCAGAGGAUGCUUCUGGCGACGCGCCUUCCGAGUUCCCUGGAACGGGACGCCAUAGAGGGUGAGAGCCCCGUCCGGUCGUGCGCCUAGCCUCUGUGAAGCUCCUUCGACGAGUCGAGUAGUUUGGGAAUGCUGCUCAAAAUGGGAGGUAUACGUCUUCUAAAGCUAAAUACCGGCCAGAGACCGAUAGCGCACAAGUAGAGUGAUCGAAAGAUGAAAAGCACUUUGAAAAGAGAGUUAAAAAGUACGUGAAAUUGUUGAAAGGGAAGCGCUCAUGACCAGACUUGGGCUGGCCCGAUCAUCCGGCGUUCUCGCCGGUGCACUCGGGCCGCCCAGGCCAGCAUCAGCUUUCGCCGGGGGAUAAAGGCGGCGGGAAUGUGGCUCCCUCGGGAGUGUUAUAGCCCGCCGUGCAAUACCCUGGUGGGGGCUGAGGUUCGCGCGUAUGCACGGAUGCUGGCGUAAUGGUUAUCAGCGACCCGUCUUGAAACACGGACCAAGGAGUCGUCUUCGUAUGCGAGUGUUCGGGUGUCAAACCCCUACGCGGAAUGAAAGUGAACGCUGGUGAGAGCUUCGGCGCAUCACCGACCGAUCCUGAUGUUCUCGGACGGAUUUGAGUAAGAGCAUACGGGGCCGGACCCGAAAGAAGGUGAACUAUGCCUGUAUAGGGUGAAGCCAGAGGAAACUCUGGUGGAGGCUCGCAGCGGUUCUGACGUGCAAAUCGAUCGUCAAAUAUGGGCAUGGGGGCGAAAGACUAAUCGA